Molecule: small RNA, 118 nt
Filed under: Flavobacteriaceae bacterium
Lineage: Bacteria; Pseudomonadati; Bacteroidota; Flavobacteriia; Flavobacteriales; Flavobacteriaceae
Description: 6S RNA
Rfam family: 6S-Flavo RNA
Source: RNAcentral
ACUCAACGUUAAUUCUUUAAAAAGGGUGAGUUGAAGUUGUAAAAGCAGGCUGCUAGUAGUAAUACUUGGGCAGAUCCUUGAUCAGCUUGUUAGCCCUAAACUUGUUUUUAAGGAGUUU